UACAGAGGGUGCGAGCGUUAAUCGGAUUUACUGGGCGUAAAGGGCGCGUAGGCGGUUUAGUGAGUGUGAUGUGAAAGCCCCGGGCUUAACCUGGGAAGUGCAUCGCAAACGACUGAACUGGAGUAUAAGAGAGGGUGGCGGAAUUUCCGGUGUAGCGGUGAAAUGCGUAGAGAUCGGAAGGAACGUCAAUGGCGAAGGCAGCCACCUGGCUUAAUACUGACGCUGAGGCGCGAAAGCGUGGGGAUCAAACAGG
RNAcentral lists this ribosomal RNA (253 nucleotides) under uncultured bacterium. RNAcentral describes it as "partial 16S ribosomal RNA". It matches the Rfam family "Bacterial small subunit ribosomal RNA", at positions 524 to 776 of the family's 1533-position model. The record is from RNAcentral.